GUCCGUUCAUCCCUUUGGGACGCAUGCUACCUGAGUCAUGGAACGGGGACUCAGG
RNAcentral lists this non-coding RNA (55 nucleotides) under Synechococcus phage 27A. Its description in RNAcentral is "Synechococcus phage Glutamine-II sequence". It matches the Rfam family "Glutamine-II riboswitch aptamer". Rfam says of the family: The major groove of the PK provides the binding site for L-glutamine The record is from RNAcentral. RNAcentral also lists the same sequence under 2 other names.